This 398-nucleotide ribosomal RNA is filed under the name uncultured bacterium. RNAcentral's name for it is "partial 16S ribosomal RNA". It matches the Rfam family "Bacterial small subunit ribosomal RNA", at positions 523 to 918 of the family's 1533-position model. The record is from RNAcentral.
AUACGUAGGGUGCGAGCGUUGUCCGGAAUUACUGGGCGUAAAGAGCACGUAGGUGGUUUGUCGCGUCGUCUGUGAAAUUCCGGGGCUUAACUCCGGGCGUGCAGGCGAUACGGGCAUAACUUGAGUACUGUAGGGGAGACUGGAAUUCCUGGUGUAGCGGUGAAAUGCGCAGAUAUCAGGAGGAACACCGGUGGCGAAGGCGGGUCUCUGGGCAGUAACUGACGCUGAGGAGCGAAAGCAUGGGUAGCGAACAGGAUUAGAUACCCUGGUAGUCCAUGCCGUAAACGGUGGGCGCUAGGUGUAGGGGUCUUCCACGACUUCUGUGCCGUAGCUAACGCAUUAAGCGCCCCGCCUGGGGAGUACGACCGCAAGGUUGAAACUCAAAGGAAUUGGCGGGG